Molecule: ribosomal RNA, 484 nt
Filed under: uncultured bacterium
Lineage: Bacteria
Description: partial 16S ribosomal RNA
Rfam family: Bacterial small subunit ribosomal RNA
Source: RNAcentral
GUUGAACGCUGGCGGCAGGCCUAACACAUGCAAGUCGAGCGGAGGAAGUUGGUUUUCUUCUGGAUUCAGCGGCGGACGGGUGGGUAAUUCCUGGGAGGCUGCCUGGCAUUGGGGGGGGACGUCCGGAAACGGGCGCUAAGACCGCAUACGUCCUGAGGGAGAAAGUGGGGGAUUUUGGGACCUCACGCUAUUAGAUUAGCCUAGGUCGGAUUAGCUAGUGGGUUGGGUAAAGGCCUACCAAGGGGACGAUCCGGAACUGGUCUGAGAGGAUGAUUAAUCAAACUGGACCUGGGCAACGCUCCAGCCUCCUACGGGAGGCAGCAGUGGGGAAUAUUGGAAAAUGGGCGAAAGCCUGCUCAAGCCAUGCGGCGUGUGUGAAGAAGGUCUUCGGAUUGUAAAGCCCUUUAAGUUGGGAGGAAGGGCAGUAAGUUAAUAACCUGCUGUUUUGACGUUACCAACAGAAUAAGCACCGGCUAACUUCGUG